GGACGCAUAGCUCAGUUGGUAGAGCAGCUGACUCUUAAUCAGCGGGUCCCAGGUUCGAACCCUGGUGCGUCCACCA
RNAcentral lists this transfer RNA (76 nucleotides) under Erythrobacter sp. Its description in RNAcentral is "tRNA-Lys". It matches the Rfam family "tRNA". From Rfam's summary of the family: Transfer RNA (tRNA) molecules are approximately 80 nucleotides in length. Their secondary structure includes four short double-helical elements and three loops (D, anti-codon, and T loops). Lineage: Bacteria; Pseudomonadati; Pseudomonadota; Alphaproteobacteria; Sphingomonadales; Erythrobacteraceae. RNAcentral also lists the same sequence under 5 other names. The record is from RNAcentral.